GGUGGCGUGGAGGAGUUCGGGAUAGCCCUUUCGUGUGAGUGUUCCGUCUCCUCCACAUCUUCCU
Molecule: microRNA precursor, 64 nt
Filed under: Echinococcus granulosus
Lineage: Eukaryota; Metazoa; Platyhelminthes; Cestoda; Cyclophyllidea; Taeniidae
Description: microRNA egr-mir-10245 precursor
Source: miRBase by way of RNAcentral